CACAUGCAAGUCGAACGAGAAUUAAUCCCGGUUAAUUCUAGUGGCGGACGGGUGAGUAACACGUGAGAAUUCGCCUUUAGGAGGGGGAUAACGGAUGGAAACAUUCGCUAAAACCCCAUAUGCCCUCGGGUGAAAAAGAGAAAGUAAGUCAUACUGAUUUAUCUCUGCCUGAAGAGAAGCUCGCGGCUGAUUAGCUAGUUGGUAGGGUAAAGGCCUACCAAGGCGACGAUCAGUAGCUGGUCUGAGAGGACGAUCAGCCACACUGGAACUGAGACACGGUCCAGACUCCUACGGGAGGCAGCAGUGAGGAAUUUUCUGCAAUGGGCGAAAGCCUGACAGAGCAAUACCGCGUGGGGGAUGAAGACUUACUGAGUUGUAAACCUCGGUACCCUAAGGAAGAAGAUAUGACGGUACUUAGGGUGGAAAGCAUCGGCUAACUCCGUGCCAGCAGCCGCGGUAAGACGGGGGAUGCAAGUGUUAUCCGGAUUUACUGGGCGUAAAGCGUCUGCAGGUGGUUUCUUAAGUCUACUGUUAAAUCUUGAGGCUCAACCUCAAAUCUGCAGUAGAAACUAGGAGACUUGAGUAUAGUAGGGGUAGAGGGAAUUUCCAGUGGAGCGGUGAAAUGCGUAGAUAUUGGAAAGAACACCGAUGGCGAAGGCACUCUACUGGGCUAUUACUGACACUCAGAGACGAAAGCUAGGGGAGCAAAUGGGAUUAGAUACCCCAGUAGUCCUAGCCGUAAACGAUGGAUACUCGAUGUUGGACGUAUCGACCCGUUCAGUAUCUUAGCUAACGCGUUAAGUAUCCCGCCUGGGGGGUACGCUCGCAGAGUGAAACUCAAAGGAAUUGACGGGGGCCCGCACAAGCGGUGGAGGAUGUGGUUUAAUUCGAUGC
RNAcentral lists this ribosomal RNA (894 nucleotides) under uncultured bacterium. Its description in RNAcentral is "bacterial SSU rRNA". It matches the Rfam family "Bacterial small subunit ribosomal RNA", at positions 52 to 957 of the family's 1533-position model. The record is from RNAcentral.